This 2213-nucleotide long non-coding RNA is filed under the name Taeniopygia guttata (zebra finch). Its description in RNAcentral is "lncRNA (ENSTGUG00000026094.1)". The record is from RNAcentral. Lineage: Eukaryota; Metazoa; Chordata; Aves; Passeriformes; Estrildidae.
UUUUUUUUUUUUUUUUUGAGAGUAAUCUUUUUCAACAAUGUGUAAGACAGAACAGAAUUUCCAUGCUUAUAUACCAUGAGGCACCCAAGGAUUCUUCUGGACAGAAAAAAAGUGUGUUGGCACACUCAGAUGUGGCUAUCUGAAGUGUCCAGCUAGAGCCCAUGUGCCACCACACUGCAAGAGGAGACAGAAGGAUGUGCUCAUGUUCACCACUUGCAAGAACUUAUUUCUUCCACCUGUCACAGACCAGUCUUCUAAGUUAUAUACCUAACCCUGGGCAGAGCAAAUAGCCCACAGAGCAUGCAGAAAUGCAAAUGCAAUUUUUGUGUUCAGCCAAGGCAUUUUUGAUAGCAGCAAGGAUGGCUGAAUUUUUAGGAAAACCCCUCAUGGAAUGUUUUGUGCCAUUUCUUUGCACCACAGUCAAGGACAUGGAAGAGUGAUUCAAGUCUGCAUACAUAGCUCCCUACAUUCACCUAUAGCACUGGUCACACUGAGUAUACUCACCAUGCUGGCAGAGACUGAGUUGACAGUAGCGUUGCAAUUCCCAAAAUCUUCACCUUGUGUUUGAACUGUGAGGCAGCCUUGUCUACACUUCUGCACUGCAUUUGUAAGCACCCCACAGCUAAGGCUAAUUCACAGCUCUCAAUACCCUCAUUCACUCCUGUCUUGACUUGAUAUUUUAAAAGAUUGAGAAAUGUAAAUAUUCAUGACCUUAAAACUGUAUCAGCUUUUCAGUCCAGUUGCUCUUUGUCUUUCUUCAGGCCGGUUUUUACUCUAUUAUUAUGCUGAAAAGCUAAGUUAGGGCUGCCACAGGUCACCUUCUUAUCAGUUAGUUUUAAUCUGGAUUUGUCAUUCAUCAUCCUCAGCUCAGAUCAAGCACCCAUUUCCCUGAGUAACAAUUACAGAACCACGGAAUGGGCAAGGAUGGAAGAGACCACAGUGGGUCAUCUGGACCAACCUACUUUUCAAGCAGGGUCAUCCUAGCGCAUGUGGCAUGGAAUUGUGUCCAGAUAGUUCUUGAGUAUCUCCAGUGUGGGAGAUUCCACAACUUCUCUGUCUCUGUGCUCAGUCACCUGCACAGUAAAGAUCUUCCUAUAUUCAGGUGGAGCUUCCUUGCAUCAGUUUGUGCCCACUGCCUCCUGUCCCAUUGCUCGGCACCACCGAGCAGAGCCCGGCUUCAUCCUCCUGGCACCUCCCUUCAGAUACUCACAGACAUCGAUGAGUUCCCCUCUCAGUGCCUCUGCUCGAGGCUGAACAGGCCCAGCUCCCUCAGCCUUUCCUCAUCAGAGAGAUGCUCCAGGGCCUCAAUCAUCUUUGUUACCCUCCACUGGAGCCACUCCAGGGGCUCCAUGUCUCUCUUGUCCUGAGGAGCCCAGGACUGGACUCAACACUCCAGAUGUGCCUCACCAGGGCAGGGCAGAGGGGCAGGAUCACCUCCCUUGAGCUGGUGACAUUCUUAUACUGACAUAUUGUCUCUAUAAAUCAACAAAAUAGUCUCUGUGGGAAAGCAAAUUCUCCUGGCAAACAGAAAUCACAGGGGUUAACUGAUGGAGUUCAUCGUGGGAAAUGCUUUCCCAUCUCCUUUGCAAAUUUGAACUUGGUAUGUUCAGCUUCACUUUCCUCACAAGCCCAUGUUCCCCUGCCUUUCUCUCAACACUUAUCCCAGACCAUCUUGCUGCACUCCCUUACCAGGAUGCCUCCCCUCCCCCUCCAAGAGAAUUCUCUUUCCCAAGUAUUUGUCAUAUGCAUGGCCCUAUCAGUCAGUGCUGCACCUCUCAUAAGUUUGUAUUUUUCAGCUUCCACAGCCAAAUGAUUAGGUGAGAAUCUUGGCUUAUGGUUUUAAGUAAGUUUCCUAGACCUCAUAGUAGCAAAGAGAAACUUAAAAACAUUUACUCCAGUGCAGUCAUUCUUAAGGCUAAGAAACCGUAAUAAACCACACCCUAAACUUGUUUUAUUUUUAAAAUCUGAGUUUUAAGUUUUUAAGCUCGGGCCUUUCUCAGGCUUUCUUGUGAUUUGUGAACAUCUGGGAUUGGCAGUGCUGUAAUCUGAGCAAGCAGGUUGGAAAACAUAUUCCUACAAUCCAGCUGAUCCCUAGGGUCCACUUCCCACUGGUCCCACCAGACUGCACCUCCUGAAAUGACCUUCUGAGAUGCACCAGGGGCUUCCCAGGGUCAGCUAAGGAAUCACUGCAUUGCCUGAGCUUCUGCUUCCCC